RNAcentral lists this ribosomal RNA (476 nucleotides) under uncultured organism. RNAcentral describes it as "partial 16S ribosomal RNA". It matches the Rfam family "Bacterial small subunit ribosomal RNA", at positions 334 to 801 of the family's 1533-position model. The record is from RNAcentral.
CACUCCUACGGGAGGCAGCAGUGGGGAAUUUUGGACAAUGGGCGAAAGCCUGAUCCAGCCAUGCCGCGUGCAGGAUGAAGGCCUUCGGGUUGUAAACUGCUUUUGUACGGAACGAAACGGCCUUUUCUAAUAAAGAGGGCUAAUGACGGUACCGUAAGAAUAAGCACCGGCUAACUACGUGCCAGCAGCCGCGGUAAUACGUAGGGUGCAAGCGUUAAUCGGAAUUACUGGGCGUAAAGCGUGCGCAGGCGGUUAUGUAAGACAGUUGUGAAAUCCCCGGGCUCAACCUGGGAACUGCAUCUGUGACUGCAUAGCUAGAGUACGGUAGAGGGGGAUGGAAUUCCGCGUGUAGCAGUGAAAUGCGUAGAUAUGCGGAGGAACACCGAUGGCGAAGGCAAUCCCCUGGACCUGUACUGACGCUCAUGCACGAAAGCGUGGGGAGCAAACAGGAUUAGAUACCCUUGUAGUCCCAUGAU